UGGAUUAUGCUAAAUCUUUUAUCACUUAGCGAUUCAUUAAACGGAAAAUUAAACCUAAAGCCUCCCCACCUUUCAAUGGAAGCUGCUGGGUAUCUAUCUUGUCUAACCUUCUGAUGUCCCUUGUCAAUAAUCCAUGCUAUAUGGGGACUCUUAGACAUAUAGCAAAGCAGAUAUAUGGGUCAAUCCAGUUUGAACCAAAUUGAAUUUGGACUGAGAUCAAUUUGAUCAAAAUCAAAAUUGAAACCGUAUGUUGAUUUAUAGACUAAACCAUAUUGAAUUAAAAGUAGCGUAGGCUCAGUUCCGGUUUGAG
Molecule: long non-coding RNA, 310 nt
Filed under: Manihot esculenta (cassava)
Lineage: Eukaryota; Viridiplantae; Streptophyta; Magnoliopsida; Malpighiales; Euphorbiaceae
Description: long non-coding RNA (MESC_LNC006872)
Source: RNAcentral